RNAcentral lists this ribosomal RNA (1225 nucleotides) under metagenome. RNAcentral's name for it is "bacterial SSU rRNA". It matches the Rfam family "Bacterial small subunit ribosomal RNA", at positions 280 to 1498 of the family's 1533-position model. The record is from RNAcentral.
UACGUAGCCGAACUGAGAGGUUGAUCGGCCACAUUGGGACUGAGACACGGCCCAAACUCCUACGGGAGGCAGCAGUAGGGAAUCUUCCACAAUGGACGAAAGUCUGAUGGAGCAACGCCGCGUGAAUGAAGAAGGCCUUCGGGUCGUAAAAUUCUGUUGUCAGAGAAGAACGUGCGUGAGAGUAACUGUUCACGUAUUGACGGUAUCUGACCAGAAAGCCACGGCUAACUACGUGCCAGCAGCCGCGGUAAUACGUAGGUGGCGAGCGUUGUCCGGAUUUAUUGGGCGUAAAGGGAACGCAGGCGGUCUUUUAAGUCUGAUGUGAAAGCCUUCGGCUUAACCGAAGUAGUGCAUUGGAAACUGGAAGACUUGAGUGCAGAAGAGGAGAGUGGAACUCCAUGUGUAGCGGUGAAAUGCGUAGAUAUAUGGAAGAACACCAGUGGCGAAAGCGGCUCUCUGGUCUGUAACUGACGCUGAGGUUCGAAAGCGUGGGUAGCAAACAGGAUUAGAUACCCUGGUAGUCCACGCCGUAAACGAUGAGUGCUAAGUGUUGGAGGGUUUCCGCCCUUCAGUGCUGCAGCUAACGCAUUAAGCACUCCGCCUGGGGAGUACGGUCGCAAGACUGAAACUCAAAGGAAUUGACGGGGGCCCGCACAAGCGGUGGAGCAUGUGGUUUAAUUCGAAGCAACGCGAAGAACCUUACCAGGUCUUGACAUCUUCUGACAAUUCCAGAGAUGGAACGUUCCCUUCGGGGACAGAAUGACAGGUGGUGCAUGGUUGUCGUCAGCUCGUGUCGUGAGAUGUUGGGUUAAGUCCCGCAACGAGCGCAACCCUUAUUGUCAGUUGCCAUCAUUAAGUUGGGCACUCUGGCGAGACUGCCGGUGACAAACCGGAGGAAGGUGGGGAUGACGUCAAAUCAUCAUGCCCCUUAUGACCUGGGCUACACACGUGCUACAAUGGACGGUACAACGAGUCGCUAACUCGCGAGGGCAAGCUAAUCUCUUAAAGCCGUUCUCAGUUCGGAUUGCAGGCUGCAACUCGCCUGCAUGAAGUCGGAAUCGCUAGUAAUCGCGAAUCAGCAUGUCGCGGUGAAUACGUUCCCGGGCCUUGUACACACCGCCCGUCACACCAUGAGAGUUUGUAACACCCAAAGUCGGUGGGGUAACCUUUUGGAGCCAGCCGCCUAAGGUGGGACAGAUGAUUGGGGUGAAGUCGUAACAAGGUA